GGCGGCGUGCCUAAUACAUGCAAGUCGAGCGGAAUGAUGAAGAAGCUUGCUUCUUCUGAUUUUAGCGGCGGACGGGUGAGUAACACGUGGGCAACCUACCUUGUAGAUUGGGAUAACUCCGGGAAACCGGGGCUAAUACCGAAUAAACCAUUUUGCUUCAUGGCAAGAUGUUGAAAGGCGGCUUCGGCUGUCACUACUAGAUGGGCCCGCGGCGUAUUAGCUAGUUGGUAGGGUAAUGGCCUACCAAGGCGACGAUACGUAGCCGACCUGAGAGGGUGAUCGGCCACACUGGGACUGAGACACGGCCCAGACUCCUACGGGAGGCAGCAGUAGGGAAUCUUCCACAAUGGACGAAAGUCUGAUGGAGCAACGCCGCGUGAGUGAAGAAGGUUUUCGGAUCGUAAAACUCUGUUGUAAGGGAAGAACACGUACGAGAGUAACUGCUCGUACCUUGACGGUACCUUAUUAGAAAGCCACGGCUAACUACGUGCCAGCAGCCGCGGUAAUACGUAGGUGGCAAGCGUUGUCCGGAAUUAUUGGGCGUAAAGCGCGCGCAGGCGGUUCUUUAAGUCUGAUGUGAAAGCCCACGGCUCAACCGUGGAGGGUCAUUGGAAACUGGAGAACUUGAGUACAGAAGAGGAAAGCGGAAUUCCACGUGUAGCGGUGAAAUGCGUACAGAUGUGGAGGAACACCAGUGGCGAAGGCGGCUUUCUGGUCUGUAACUGACGCUGAGGCGCGAAAGCGUGGGGAGCAAACAGGAUUAUAUACCCUGGUAGUCCACGCCGUACACGAUGAGUGCUAAGUGUUAGGGGGCUUCCGCCCCUUAGUGCUGCAGCUAACGCAUUAAGCACUCCGCCUGGGGAGUACGACCGCAAGGUUGAAACUC
This 886-nucleotide ribosomal RNA is filed under the name Sporosarcina sp. K2-4-053. RNAcentral describes it as "bacterial SSU rRNA". It matches the Rfam family "Bacterial small subunit ribosomal RNA", at positions 38 to 902 of the family's 1533-position model. The record is from RNAcentral. Lineage: Bacteria; Bacillati; Bacillota; Bacilli; Caryophanales; Caryophanaceae.